GAUUGGACAUGGGGGCACCUCCAUCCAUUAUGCCGCGUGAGUGAAGAAGGCCUUCGGGUUGUAAAGCCCUUUUGUCAGGGAAGAAACACCGGCUCUAACACAGUCCGGGAAUGACGGUACCUGGAGAAUAAGCACCAGCUAACUACGUGCCAGCAGCCGCGGUAAUACGUAGGGUGCGAGCGUUAAUCGGAAUUACUGGGCGUAAAGCGUGCGCAGGCGGUUAUACAAGACAGGCGUGAAACCCCGGGCUUAACCUGGGAAUGGCGCCUGUGACUGUAUAGCUAGAGUGUGUCAGAGGGGGGUAGAAUUCCACGUGUAGCAGUGAAAUGCGUAGAUAUGUGGAGGAAUACCAAUGGCGAAGGCAGCCCCCUGGGAUAACACUGACGCUCAUGCACGAAAGCGUGGGGAGCAAACAGGAUUAGAUACCCUGGUAGUCCACGCCCUAAACGAUGCUGACUAGUUGUUCGGGAUUUACAUCCUGAGUAACGUAGCUAACGCGUGAAGUCAGACGCCUGGGGAGUACGGUCGCAAGAUUAAAACUCAAAGGAAUCGACGGGGAACCGCACAGGCGGUGGAUGAUGUGGAUUACUUCGAUGCAACGCGAAAAACCUU
Molecule: ribosomal RNA, 612 nt
Filed under: uncultured bacterium
Lineage: Bacteria
Description: bacterial SSU rRNA
Rfam family: Bacterial small subunit ribosomal RNA
Source: RNAcentral